CCUGACCUUGAAGUCCCGGUGUCACAAGUUAAUGCCACUGUUCCUGCUGUUGUCAAAGAGUCCUUGAAUUUAUACUUCACUUCUCUGUAGAGCUUGGGUACGGCUGUGUCGGCGAAAAAAUGUCUGGACAGAGUCACAUACCUGGGUUCCAGUGUUUUUAGCAUGCAACAAAAGCCUUUGUUUUCAACACACGCCCAAGGCAUGAGCAAACUAAGCACCUGCUUAGGGCCCUGUGACCACUAGGGGGCCCCCAAGAGCAAUUAACUUAAAAAAAGAAAAAAGUAAUUCAUUAUUUUUUUCCAUGUGUGAGUGAUGAUGAUUCAUAUAUUAUCAAAUGUACGUUCUUGUACAAAAAGACAAUAUUAUGUUAACAGAGUGUAGUUUCCUACUGCCUCUCUGCUCUAAAUGUCAGAGCUCCGCUAGUAAUGUGUUUGCAUCCAGCUGUGCAGUGCGCACUGCGCAUCCAAGAAGCUAGGAGCAGGUGGACGGCCUUAUAAUGUCGCAAAAAAGGACAUACCCUUCAGGGGUGGAAAAAAGAAAAAGGAAGAAAGAGGAAGAGGAGAAAAACGACAAGAUAAAGGAGCACUGUUAAAGUAUUUUGGAGGAGGCACUGACUCAGCCCAGGGGCAGUCCACCUCCUCAGGCUCAGCCAAGGAUAAUGAAUCAAGUCCAUCUCCAUCCUCCACUCCAUCCACUGUGCCCACUGUCUCCUCUAUUUCUGCUGCAACCUCAGCUGUACCUGGUCCAUCUCCAGCCUUUGCUCCAUCCACUGUGCCCACUGUCCCCUCUGUGUUGCAGUUUAUUUAAAACAAAAAAAUAAUAAAGCAGAUUGUGUUUACA
Epinephelus lanceolatus (giant grouper) is the source of this 840-nucleotide non-coding RNA. The record is from RefSeq and is a predicted model, not a curated record. NCBI's taxonomy places the organism in Eukaryota, Metazoa, Chordata, Actinopteri, Perciformes, Serranidae.